UCAAAAACAUGUCCUUUUGUUAAUAAUUUAAGGUCUGACCUGCCCAAUGAUUAUUUAAAUGGCCGCAGUAUAUUGACUGUGCAAAGGUAGCAUAAUCAUUAGUUUAUUAAUUGUAAGCUGGAAUGAAUGGUUUGAUGAGAAAAUAACUGUCUCAAUUUAAUUGUUUUAGAAUUUUAAUUUUAAGUUAAAAAGCUUAAAUUUUGAAGGAAGACGAGAAGACCCUAUAGAGUUUAAUAUUUUCAUAUUAUGAUUGGUUUUAGGUUUAUUUAAAGUUUUAAUAUGAAUUUAUUUUGUUGGGGUGACAUUAAAAUUUAAUAAACUUUUAAUUUAUUAUAACAUUUUUUUUUGAUUAUUUGAUCCUAAAUUUUUAGAUUAUAAGAUAAAAUUACCUUAGGGAUAACAGCGUAAUUUUUUUUGAGAGUUCUUAUCGAAAGAAAAGUUUGCGACCUCGAUGU
This 455-nucleotide ribosomal RNA is filed under the name Callyntra inconsiderata. RNAcentral's name for it is "partial large subunit ribosomal RNA". It matches the Rfam family "Bacterial large subunit ribosomal RNA", at positions 1807 to 2532 of the family's 2925-position model. Lineage: Eukaryota; Metazoa; Arthropoda; Insecta; Coleoptera; Tenebrionidae. The record is from RNAcentral.